GAUGAACGCUAGCGGCAGGCCUAACACAUGCAAGUCGAGGGGUAGUAAGUGCUUGCACUUAUGAGACCGGCGCACGGGUACGUAACGCGUAUGCAAUCUACCUUGUACAGGGGGAUAGCCCAGAGAAAUUUGGAUUAAUAUCCCAUAGUGUUUUAGAGUGGCAUCACUUUAUUACUAAAGAUUUAUCGGUACAAGAUGAGCAUGCGUCCCAUUAGUUAGUUGGUAAGGUAACGGCUUACCAAGACGAUGAUGGGUAGGGGUCCUGAGAGGGAGAUCCCCCACACUGGUACUGAGACACGGACCAGACUCCUACGGGAGGCAGCAGUGAGGAAUAUUGGGCAAUGGAGGCAACUCUGACCCAGCCAUGCCGCGUGCAGGAAGACGGCCCUAUGGGUUGUAAACUGCUUUUGUACGGGAAGAAACCCUCCUACGUGUA
Molecule: ribosomal RNA, 436 nt
Filed under: uncultured Flavobacterium sp.
Lineage: Bacteria; Pseudomonadati; Bacteroidota; Flavobacteriia; Flavobacteriales; Flavobacteriaceae
Description: bacterial SSU rRNA
Rfam family: Bacterial small subunit ribosomal RNA
Source: RNAcentral